Molecule: long non-coding RNA, 620 nt
Organism: Amphiprion ocellaris (clown anemonefish)
Lineage: Eukaryota; Metazoa; Chordata; Actinopteri; Pomacentridae
Source: Ensembl
CCCAAAUAUUUGAGGAGGAAGAAGAAGUGCAGACGCUUUAUUCGUGUAACCAAAUACUAACUAAAGAAGCAGAAACUGCUGGACGCCCAUUGGUGCAGGUGUUCUUACUGUACACGUCUUUAGAAAAGCUGCAGAGAGAGGGAACAGCCAUGAGUCUGCUGUGAUAAUGGAUCGCAGCAGGGCAGACAGGAGCAGAACUCGAAGAUGUGGUAACUACAACAACGUAGUGGAGCCCGAGUACGACGUGGUGGACGACCAAGAGGAAGUGCACAAUGUGCGCAUAUUUCCUGCCAGGCCCAUAAAUGAUGAGAGAGAGUACGCAGACAGGGAUCUUCCAAGGUCAUCAUCUGCACAGAGCCUUUCAUCACCCUCCACUGUUAAUUCCGAGAUCCUACCUAGACGUCCACCCAGAGAAACCCCACAUACCUCAGGACCUGCUGUCAAUAGAGACCUGAAGCCAGGCAGACGAAAGACCAGAUUCGAUAAGAAGUUGCCACCUGUGCUGCCAGACCAGCACUCACACAGGUGCCCUCCAUCACCUCCAUCCUUUACCCUGGAGCUGAUCAAUCACUGGUCUGGACUGGCUCUGAAUAAACCCUGCAGGAGAGAGUGAGUGCUGU